UACAGAGGUCUCAAGCGUUGUUCGGAUUCAUUGGGCGUAAAGGGUGCGUAGGUGGCGGGGUAAGUCAGGUGUGAAAUCUCGGAGCUCAACUCCGAAACUGCACUUGAUACUGCCUUGCUUGAGUACUGGAGAGGAGAUUGGAAUUACGGUGUAGCAGUGAAAUGCGUAGAUAUCGUAAGGAAGACCAGUGGCGAAGGCGAAUCUCUGGACAGUUACUGACACUGAGGCACGAAGGCCAAGGGAGCAAACGGG
Molecule: ribosomal RNA, 252 nt
Filed under: uncultured bacterium
Lineage: Bacteria
Description: partial 16S ribosomal RNA
Rfam family: Bacterial small subunit ribosomal RNA
Source: RNAcentral